Molecule: ribosomal RNA, 1206 nt
Filed under: Pseudogymnoascus sp.
Lineage: Eukaryota; Fungi; Ascomycota; Leotiomycetes; Thelebolales; Thelebolaceae
Description: partial large subunit ribosomal RNA
Rfam family: Eukaryotic large subunit ribosomal RNA (bases 1-913)
Source: RNAcentral
AACGGCGAGUGAAGCGGUAACAGCUCAAAUUUGAAAUCUGGCCUCACGGUCCGAGUUGUAAUUUGUAGAGGAUGCUUCGAGCAUGGUCUGGCCUAAGUUCCUUGGAACAGGACGUCAUAGAGGGUGAGAAUCCCGUAUGCGGCCAGGUGCCUACGCUCAUGUGAAGCUCCUUCGACGAGUCGAGUUGUUUGGGAAUGCAGCUCAAAAUGGGUGGUAAAUUUCAUCUAAAGCUAAAUAUUGGCCAGAGACCGAUAGCGCACAAGUAGAGUGAUCGAAAGAUGAAAAGCACUUUGGAAAGAGAGUUAAACAGUACGUGAAAUUGUUGAAAGGGAAGCGCUUGCAACCAGACUUGCGCGCGGCCGAUCAUCCGGUGUUCUCACCGGUGCACUCGGCCGUGCUCAGGCCAGCAUCGGUUUUGGCGGCUGGAUAAAGGCCCUAGGAAUGUAGCUCCUCUCGGGGAGUGUUAUAGCCUAGGGUGCAAUGCAGCCUGCUGGGACCGAGGACCGCGCUUCGGCUAGGAUGCUGGCGUAAUGGUUGUAAGCGGCCCGUCUUGAAACACGGACCAAGGAGUCUAACAUCUAUGCGAGUGUUUGGGUGUCAAACCCAUACGCGUAAUGAAAGUGAACGGAGGUGAGAACCCUUAAGGGUGCAUCAUCGACCGGUCCUGAAGUUUACGGAAGGAUCUGAGUAAGAGCAUAGCUGUUGGGACCCGAAAGAUGGUGAACUAUGCCUGAAUAGGGUGAAGCCAGAGGAAACUCUGGUGGAGGCUCGCAGCGGUUCUGACGUGCAAAUCGAUCGUCAAAUUUGGGUAUAGGGGCGAAAGACUAAUCGAACCAUUGACCUGUAGGAACACUACUAGGUGGUUAAGAGGCGGCUAAAAGUGCCGUCUAGUCCCGACGCCGGGGCGACACUGUCAAAUUGCGGGAACAUCCUUAGAGCCUAGACUACCGCAGCCUUCCUGAAAGGGGGGUGCGCACCAGGGUAAUGACCUCGGGUAUGGUAAUAACGUCUAGGAUUGGACAAUCCGCAGCCAAGCCCUACGGACCUCGGUCUAUGGGUGCAGUUCAUCGACUAGAUGGCAGUGGGUGGCAGCAAUGCCGCUUAAGAUAUAGUCAGACCCCCGGGAGACCGGGCGGCAGAACGAAGACCGUGGGGGGCGUCCUCUCUGAGAGCCCCGCGGUCCCGAGUCUGCUGGUGGCGUCGCAG